Molecule: small nuclear RNA, 18 nt
Filed under: Arabidopsis thaliana (thale cress)
Lineage: Eukaryota; Viridiplantae; Streptophyta; Magnoliopsida; Brassicales; Brassicaceae
Description: snRNA_07737
Source: RNAcentral
AGAACUGGCGAUGCGGGA